GUUACAGCUAGAAGGAAGAACCUCUCAUCACCAACUCCGUGACAGAGACCAGCAUUUUGUUAAGGGCCAAAAGACUGCUACCACCUCUCACUUGCGUGAGAUGUUCCUAAUGGCAUGCUGCUAUGUUCUGAAGAGGAAAGGAAGACAAUUUGGGAAAGUGGACAUACAACCUUAACUUGUAGAAGGGGCAGAAGAGUUAAGCUUCCUGCAUUGUGAAACUUUUGGAACUCUGGGUUCUGUUAGCAUUUGCAGACUAAACAUGGGGUGAAGACUGGGAAAUGAGAUGGUAUUGUUGCAAGACAUGAGGUGAGCAGAAUUGUCAGAGAUUGGUCAUUGCCAUACUCA
RNAcentral lists this long non-coding RNA (345 nucleotides) under Canis lupus familiaris (dog). Its description in RNAcentral is "lncRNA (ENSCAFG00000036557.3, ENSCAFG00805020898.1, ENSCAFG00845016979.1)". Lineage: Eukaryota; Metazoa; Chordata; Mammalia; Carnivora; Canidae. The record is from RNAcentral.